RNAcentral lists this long non-coding RNA (706 nucleotides) under Gossypium raimondii (Peruvian cotton). RNAcentral describes it as "long non-coding RNA (GRAI_LNC007502)". The record is from RNAcentral. Lineage: Eukaryota; Viridiplantae; Streptophyta; Magnoliopsida; Malvales; Malvaceae.
CCCGAGUUACAAACCGGCCUAUAUGGCCCAAACCCAAAAUAAAUAGAGGCCCAAAAUUAACCCCCAGGCCCAAAGCAAUUUUAGAAACCCUAGUGUUCUAAGGUAAACUUCGGCCGCCGCAACCAUGCCCGCGAAACUCCGCGCGAUCUUCAUACCUGCGCAUCAAGAAGAGAAAUAGCAGUAUAUGGAAAGAAAAAAGAUUGCGAAUCAAAGAAAAUGGAAUAGAUUUAUUUAUGAUAUUGUAAUUUUGGCUAUAAAAGAGCCAUGGAAACACUGUAAUCGGGAGGGAAAAAUCAAGAAAAGAAAAGCUAUUGUUUUUUUACAGCAAACAGAAUACAGAGAAAAUCGAUUAUAGAGGUGGAUAUUUACAAUACUUAUUUAUUUAUUCUUUCUAUUGUUAUUUCUUUUUUACAAACGAAUAAUAACAAAGAAAAAGAGGAAGAAACAACCUGAGUGGCCCGGAAUCAACAAGAACGGUCAAAAACCGAAAGGUUUCUCGGCGAUUUGAGGCUCUUGCAGUUGUGUUUUGAGGGUUUCGGGGCCAGAUCUGGGUUUAGCGGCUUCAAAGGGACUGAGUAAAAGAUUUUCACCUUCUCCGGCCACCGCAGAAGGCGGUGCCGUCGCCGGAGGCCGGUGGCCGGUGCAGACGCCGACGAUCGGCCGGUGCCCGGACUUAGGCCGGAGAACUGAGGGGUUGAGAGCUUUC